GAUCCUGGCUCAGAUUGAACGCUGGCGGCAUGCCUUACACAUGCAAGUCGAACGGCAGCACGGGUGCUUGCACCUGGUGGCGAGUGGCGAACGGGUGAGUAAUAUAUCGGAACGUGCCCUAGAGUGGGGGAUAACUAGUCGAAAGAUUAGCUAAUACCGCAUACGAUCUACGGAUGAAAGCGGGGGACCGUAAGGCCUCGCGCGAUUGGAGCGGCCGAUGUCAGAUUAGCUAGUUGGUGGGGUAAAGGCCCACCAAGGCGACGAUCUGUAGCUGGUCUGAGAGGACGACCAGCCACACUGGAACUGAGACACGGUCCAGACUCCUACGGGAGGCAGCAGUGGGGAAUUUUGGACAAUGGGCGCAAGCCUGAUCCAGCAAUGCCGCGUGCAGGAAGAAGGCCUUCGGGUUGUAAACUGCUUUUGUACGGAACGAAACGGUCUGGGCUAAUACCCCGGGCUAAUGACGGUACCGUAAGAAUAAGCACCGGCUAACUACGUG
This 499-nucleotide ribosomal RNA is filed under the name uncultured bacterium. RNAcentral describes it as "bacterial SSU rRNA". It matches the Rfam family "Bacterial small subunit ribosomal RNA", at positions 15 to 507 of the family's 1533-position model. The record is from RNAcentral.